This 433-nucleotide ribosomal RNA is filed under the name uncultured bacterium. RNAcentral describes it as "partial 16S ribosomal RNA". It matches the Rfam family "Bacterial small subunit ribosomal RNA", at positions 29 to 507 of the family's 1533-position model. The record is from RNAcentral.
AGCGAACGCUGGCGGCAGGCCUAACACAUGCAAGUCGAACGAACUCUUCGGAGUUAGUGGCGGACGGGUGAGUAACACGUGGGAACGUGCCUUUUGGUUCGGAAUAACUCAGGGAAACUUGUGCUAAUACCGAAUGUGCCCUUCGGGGGAAAGAUUUAUCGCCAUUAGAGCGGCCCGCGUCUGAUUAGCUAGUUGGUGAGGUAACGGCUCACCAAGGCGACGAUCAGUAGCUGGUCUGAGAGGAUGACCAGCCGCACUGGGACUGAGACACGGCCCAGACUCCUACGGGAGGCAGCAGUGGGGAAUCUUGCGCAAUGGGCGAAAGCCUGACGCAGCCAUGCCGCGUGAAUGAUGAAGGUCUUAGGAUUGUAAAAUUCUUUCACCGGGGACGAUAAUGACGGUACCCGGAGAAGAAGCCCCGGCUAACUUCGUG